CUUAACCGGGCGUUAAGUUGCAGGGUAUAGACCCGAAACCCGGUGAUCUAGCCAUGGGCAGGUUGAAGGUUGGGUAACACUAACUGGAGGACCGAACCGACUAAUGUUGAAAAAUUAGCGGAUGACCUGUGGCUGGGGGUGAAAGGCCAAUCAAACCGGGAGAUAGCUGGUUCUCCCCGAAAGCUAUUUAGGUAGCGCCUCGUGAAUUCAUCUCCGGGGGUAGAGCACUGUUUCGGCUAGGGGGCCAUCCCGGCUUACCAACCCGAUGCAAACUGCGAAUACCGGAGAAUGUUAUCACGGGAGACACACGGCGGGUGCUAACGUCCGUCGUGAAGAGGGAAACAACCCAGACCGCCAGCUAAGGUCCCAAAGUCAUGGUUAAGUGGGAAACGAUGUGGGAAGGCCCAGACAGCCAGGAUGUUGGCUUAGAAGCAGCCAUCAUUUAAAGAAAGCGUAAUAGCUCACUGGUCGAGUCGGCCUGCGCGGAAGAUGUAACGGGGCUAAACCAUGCACCGAAGCUGCGGCAGCGACACUCAGGUGUUGUUGGGUAGGGGAGCGUUCUGUAAGCCUGCGAAGGUGGCCUGUGAGGGUUGCUGGAGGUAUCAGAAGUGCGAAUGCUGACAUAAGUAACGAUAAAGCGGGUGAAAAGCCCGCUCGCCGGAAGACCAAGGGUUCCUGUCCAACGUUAAUCGGGGCAGGGUGAGUCGACCCCUAAGGCGAGGCCGAAAGGCGUAGUCGAUGGGAAACGGGUUAAUAUUCCCGUACUUGGUGUUACUGCGAAGGGGGGACGGAGAAGGCUAUGUUGGCCGGGCGACGGUUGUCCCGGUUUAAGCGUGUAGGUGUGUGUUCCAGGUAAAUCCGGUUCACUUUAACACUGAGGCGUGACGACGAGGCACUACGGUGCUGAAGCAACAAAUGCCCUGCUUCCAGGAAAAGCCUCUAAGCAUCAGGUAACAUCAAAUCGUACCCCAAACCGACACAGGUGGUCAGGUAGAGAAUACCAAGGCGCUUGAGAGAACUCGGGUGAAGGAACUAGGCAAAAUGGUGCCGUAACUUCGGGAGAAGGCACGCUGACAUGUAGGUGAAGUGAUUUACUCAUGGAGCUGAAGUCAGUCGAAGAUACCAGCUGGCUGCAACUGUUUAUUAAAAACACAGCACUGUGCAAACACGAAAGUGGACGUAUACGGUGUGACGCCUGCCCGGUGCCGGAAGGUUAAUUGAUGGGGUCAGCGCAAGCGAAGCUCCUGAUCGAAGCCCCGGUAAACGGCGGCCGUAACUAUAACGGUCCUAAGGUAGCGAAAUUCCUUGUCGGGUAAGUUCCGACCUGCACGAAUGGCGUAAUGAUGGCCAGGCUGUCUCCACCCGAGACUCAGUGAAAUUGAACUCGCUGUGAAGAUGCAGUGUACCCGCGGCAAGACGGAAAGACCCCGUGAACCUUUACUAUAGCUUGACACUGAACAUUGAGCCUUGAUGUGUAGGAUAGGUGGGAGGCUUUGAAGUGUGGACGCCAGUCUGCAUGGAGCCGACCUUGAAAUACCACCCUUUAAUGUUUGAUGUUCUAACGUGGACCCGUGAUCCGGGUUGCGGACAGUGUCUGGUGGGUAGUUUGACUGGGGCGGUCUCCUCCUAAAGAGUAACGGAGGAGCACGAAGGUUGGCUAAUCCUGGUCGGACAUCAGGAGGUUAGUGCAAUGGCAUAAGCCAGCUUGACUGCGAGCGUGACGGCGCGAGCAGGUGCGAAAGCAGGUCAUAGUGAUCCGGUGGUUCUGAAUGGAAGGGCCAUCGCUCAACGGAUAAAAGGUACUCCGGGGAUAACAGGCUGAUACCGCCCAAGAGUUCAUAUCGACGGCGGUGUUUGGCACCUCGAUGUCGGCUCAUCACAUCCUGGGGCUGAAGUAGGUCCCAAGGGUAUGGCUGUUCGCCAUUUAAAGUGGUACGCGAGCUGGGUUUAGAACGUCGUGAGACAGUUCGGUCCCUAUCUGCCGUGGGCGCUGGAGAACUGAGGGGGGCUGCUCCUAGUACGAGAGGACCGGAGUGGACGCAUCACUGGUGUUCGGGUUGUCAUGCCAAUGGCACUGCCCGGUAGCUAAAUGCGGAAGAGAUAAGUGCUGAAAGCAUCUAAGCACGAAACUUGCCCCGAGAUGAGUUCUCCCUGAGACUUUAAGUCUCCUGAAGGAACGUUGAAGACGACGACGUUGAUAGGCCGGGUGU
Molecule: ribosomal RNA, 2210 nt
Filed under: Salmonella enterica subsp. enterica serovar Panama
Lineage: Bacteria; Pseudomonadati; Pseudomonadota; Gammaproteobacteria; Enterobacterales; Enterobacteriaceae
Description: partial 23S ribosomal RNA
Rfam family: Bacterial large subunit ribosomal RNA
Source: RNAcentral